GUAGGGAGCAAGCGUUGUCCGGAUUCACUGGGUGUAAAGGGUGCGUAGGCGGGAAAGUAAGUCAGUGGUGAAAUCUCACAGCUCAACUGUGAAACUGCCGUUGAUACUGCUUUUCUUGAGUUCGGGAGAGGUUGAUAGAAUUCCAGGUGUAGCGGUGAAAUGCGUAGAUAUCUGGAAGAAUACCAGUGGCGAAGGCGGUCAACUGGCCCGAAACUGACGCUGAGGCACGAAAGCGUGGGGAGCGAACAGGAUUAGAUACCCUGGUAGUCCACGCCCUAAACGAUGAAUGCUUGGUGUUGGCCAGCAAUGGUCAGUGCCGAAGGAAACCUGUUAAGCAUUCCACCUGGGGAGUACGCUCGCAAGGGUGAA
Molecule: ribosomal RNA, 369 nt
Filed under: uncultured bacterium
Lineage: Bacteria
Description: bacterial SSU rRNA
Rfam family: Bacterial small subunit ribosomal RNA
Source: RNAcentral